Molecule: long non-coding RNA, 1667 nt
Filed under: Linum usitatissimum (flax)
Lineage: Eukaryota; Viridiplantae; Streptophyta; Magnoliopsida; Malpighiales; Linaceae
Description: long non-coding RNA (LUSI_LNC004391)
Source: RNAcentral
GGAAAUUCACGGCCAUUCAAAGAAACUUAUGUUCGAUAACAUUGUUCCAUAAUCAUAAAUGAAAAAGAGAGUGAAAGAUCUACAAAUAUUCAGAACACCGUAAAGGAUAGAAAUGAGGAUGAAUUUUGAAAAAUAGCGAUGGCCCCCUUCUCCAAAUUCUCCCCCAUUGCCAUAAUGCUAUGUCUUUAACCUCCUACGAUUCCACCAAAGGGUGUGAAAUCCUUAGUAAGAGCACUUCCUAGUACCUUCAAAAGGACAAGAAACCAUCCUUAGCUGUCUUUAUCACUCCUUUGUCUCUCCACCAAUAUUCUCCAAUCUUUCUCCUAAUUUCAGAGGUUAUCCAUAUAUAACAUUCGACCUAAUCUUCUAUUUGUGGCAACUGGCAACUACGACCACUGUCAGCCAUUAGUCCAUCCCUCCAUGAGGUCACUCUUCACCUCUAUUUUGCUUGGCUGUACUGACAACUGGAAUGCCGGCUAACUAACUAUACACACACCCCAUCAGGUCCUGUUAUGUACCGAUCCCGAAUUGUAAGUUUCGGAAUCGGUAGAGACUGUUUAUGCAGCAAAGACAGAGAAAGUCUCAACAAUGGAGAAGAAGAACAAAGGGCAUGGGAUGUUAAAACAAGCAGCAAGAAACACCAUAUGAUAUGUCAGCUAUCUGCAGAAGGCCCCAUGUGGUCCAACGCCACAAACGACGACCAACAACAUUCCCCUAAAGAGAGAGAGAGAGAGAGAGAGAGCUAAUAAAAAUCUAAACUUAAUAUGUCCACCACUUGUAUCAUUUUCCAUGCCUGGCUCCAUUUCAGAAGCUGAAGCUAUAACCAUGUUCUGAGGCUGAGAAAAAAGGUGGUCACCAUGCAAGAAAAAAAAAAGCUGAAAGAUUUGUUUGCUUGAUUUGUUCCUUUCAUCUUUUCUUUUUGUAUUUCAGCAUCUCUCCUUCAAGAAAGGCUGGCAGUUGGCAAACCAACUGAAACAGUGGUGUUUCGGUUGCUUAAUAUGGUUUCGGUAACUAAACCAAACCAUAACAAAUGUCCGAACCCUGAACCGGAAUGGUACCCCCUUUAUCAAUCAAGUGCCUGGUGUGCCCACCAAUUAUUCAUACUAUAAAUGUACAACCACCACCUCAUUUUGCUGAUAUAUUGGAAUGACAUUCAACUCAAAUGCAGAAUGCUUAAUCAUGUUUGUUCCCAAGUAGACUUAUCUAAACUUCACUAGCAAAAAGGCAAACAUUAAAAAUGUCACAUUUCCCAAUCAUCUAUAUGCAGCAAGGACAAUAAGCAUAGCCUAAAUGCUUUCGGCACAAUUCUGCAGAUAAUAAUACGCAAGUGGGUUUACGGAAGCAAAAUAGUACUACCGGGACAACGAUUCUAUAUCACGCUUACAGCUAACGAAGAGUACGAUCAAUUACCUCGGCAUUGUCGUGGAGAGAGGCUCUUCCAUUCCCACUAUGUGAAUAAGAUUGAUUGCAGGAAGAGAAUUGAAUGCAGGGAGGGGAAUAGAAAGGCCCACCAAUCUUUGCAGAAAACAACUGAGGUACUACUGCUGAGCCACAAGAGGAGCCUUAGGUAUGUAUUUUUUUCAUUAUAAGUUUGAAAGAGACCCUUGCCUGUUGGUCCAGCACAUGAAGGCCAUGUUACCUUUGCCUCUCCAGAAUCUCCCCCCCCC